Molecule: ribosomal RNA, 406 nt
Filed under: uncultured bacterium
Lineage: Bacteria
Description: partial 16S ribosomal RNA
Rfam family: Bacterial small subunit ribosomal RNA
Source: RNAcentral
AUUGAACGCUGGCGGCAGGCCUAACACAUGCAAGUCGAGCGAGCGGCGGACGGGUGAGUAAUGUCUGGGAAACUGCCUGAUGGAGGGGGAUAACUACUGGAAACGGUAGCUAAUACCGCAUACCAUCAGAUGUGCCCAGAUGGGAUUAGCUAGUAGGGGGGGUAACGGCUCACCUAGGCGACGAUCCCUAGCUGGUAUGAGAGGAUGACCAGCCAAACUGGAACUGAGACAGGGUCCAGACUCCGACGGGAGGCAGAAGUGGGGAAUAUUGCACAAUGGGCGCAAGCCUGAUGCAGCCAUGCGGGGGGUGUGAAGAAGGCCUUCGGGUGGUAAGGCACUUUCAGCGGGGAGGCGUUACCCGCAGAAGAAGCACCGGCUAACUCCGUGCCAGCAGCCGCGGUAAUAC